This 253-nucleotide ribosomal RNA is filed under the name uncultured bacterium. RNAcentral describes it as "partial 16S ribosomal RNA". It matches the Rfam family "Bacterial small subunit ribosomal RNA", at positions 524 to 776 of the family's 1533-position model. The record is from RNAcentral.
UACGUAGGGUGCGAGGGUUAAUCGGAAUUACUGGGCGUAAAGCGUGCGCAGGCGGUUUUGUAAGCCAGAUGUGAAAGCCCCGGGCUCAACCUGGGAAUGGCAUUUGGGACUGCAAGGCUUGAGUGCGGCAGAGGAGACUGGAAUUCCUGGUGUAGCAGUGAAAUGCGUAGAGAUGCGGAGGAACACCUGUGGCGAAGGCGGCCCUCUGGACGGAUACUGACGCUGAGACGCGAAAGCGUGGGGAGCAAACAGG